This 497-nucleotide ribosomal RNA is filed under the name uncultured bacterium. RNAcentral's name for it is "partial 16S ribosomal RNA". It matches the Rfam family "Bacterial small subunit ribosomal RNA", at positions 28 to 507 of the family's 1533-position model. The record is from RNAcentral.
GAUGAACGCUGGCGGCGUGCCUAAUACAUGCAAGUCGAGCGAACAGACGAGGAUCUUGCUCCUCUGACGUUAGCGGCGGACGGGUGAGUAACACGUGGAUAACCUACCUAUAAGACUGGGAUAACUUCGGGAAACCGGAGCUAAUACCGGAUAAUAUAUUGAACCGCAUGGUUCAUUAGUGAAAGACGGUUUUGCUGUCACUUAUAGAUGGAUCCGCGCCGCAUUAGCUAGUUGGUAAGGUAACGGCUUACCAAGGCGACGAUGCGUAGCCGACCUGAGAGGGUGAUCGGCCACACUGGAACUGAGACACGGUCCAGACUCCUACGGGAGGCAGCAGUGGGGAAUCUUCCGCAAUGGGCGAAAGCCUGACGGAGCAACGCCGCGUGAGUGAUGAAGGUCUUCGGAUCGUAAAACUCUGUUAUUAGGGAAGAACAAAUGUAUAAGUAACUAUGCACGUCUUGACGGUACCUAAACAGAAAGCCACGGCUAACUACGUG